CGCUUCCCCAGCUGUGGUUAAUCACACCACGUUCGAUGAUCUUCGUCUUAGAUGUUUGGGUUGUGCGGCUCCGUAUUGACAGAUUGCAGGGCUUCAAAAUCUUAUGAUUCCCGACCAGUUUGAAUGCUUCUUUGAAGGUCUCUUAGACGCUGAUGCUAAUAACUCUUGUGUUUGUUGUGUCUUAAUGUAUUUUUUUGAAGUACAAACAUUCAUGGCAGACUUUAUGACCCAGUUUUUGUUGAUCGACUGAUAGAGAGAUUGAAGCUUCCCUCUGGUGAGGAGAAGGAGCUACACUCCGUCACCACCAACGGUUAUGGGAGGAGGGAUCAAAGCCAAGCCCUAAAUGAGUAGAUAUUGAGGUCGUAGAAGAAACUUCAUGACAAGCGUUUUGGUUUGCAAUCUACAGCAUGAUUGCAGGUUUAUAUUUGACGUAUAUUUAAUUCCCUUCAGGCAUUUUCUUUAGGCAUAGUUAAGCUUGAGGUUCUUGUAAUACCUGUACUCUCCAAAAUAAAAUAAUAAAUAAUAAUCGUAAAAUCUCUAUUUAUUAAUCCUCAUAAAUCGUCUGCACAUAUCAUAAAUACGACAAAUAGUCAUAAAUCCAAAUAAUGUAAUAAAUCCAGAAAAUACGAUAAAACCAUAAAACCCGCAAGUCUGAAAUGGAAAGAAGUAAACGACCAAAAGCACCAAUCCGAUAGCAAUCACUCAUGCUCGACAGUCUCACCUGGAAAGGGGAGAAAAGAGGGGUGAGCAACAGGAGAGUCACUUAGUGAGGUAUGGGAUGCUAAACCGCAAACCACUGACUCAGUACAUAACACUACGACUAUGUAGGCCUAGCUCUAACAUGAAACAAACACGGCACCUAAUGCGCCACACAUAACAACCAAUGCGCUUAUAGUACAUAGCUAUUCGUUGCACCCCGCAUUCUCCUUUUACGGAUAUAGAUAUAUAAAUUUUUAUGUAUACCAAAAGUAUGUGUAGUACAGAAGUGCUUCCCUGUACUCCCACAUUCUCCUCAUACACAAUGCUACGUAGUAUAGAAGUGCUUCCCCAUACUCCCGCAGCUCAUGCGUGGUACAGAAGUGCUUCCCUGUACGCCCCACAAUCUCCACACAAACAAUUGCCACGUAGUACAGAAGUUCUUCCCUGUACUCCCGCAGCUCAUACGUAGUACAGAAGUGCUUCCCUGUACACCCCGUAAUCUCCACACAAAUAGGCCGAUACAGAAGUACUUCCCUGUAUCCGGCUAACCAAUCCAUACUAUAUGUAUACUUAUAUAUAACCGUCUUUUAACAUCACCCAAAUCGAUCAACAGUUGAAUCAUCUAAUUUCCGAUUUCCGGUUUAGAAAAAGAAUAAAAUAAAAACAAACAAGACUCCAGUUAGACUCGAUUCACAGAGACGGAAUAUGUUUCGAAACUAAACUUUCCAUAAUGGUAGUACUAAACUAGCACGGGAUUAAACGGAAUAACCUUCACCUUAGCCACUGGAUGAAAUAGACAACGGAGGAUACGGUCAACUGCGACACGAGAAUUUAAUGGCUUAGGUCCAUAAGAAACUUUCCUAAAACAAUAGAUUUAGGUUUUCCAAAUUAGAAGACUAGGUUUAUGAUUUUCGGAUUUGAACAGAGUUGAUACCCGAAAUUAAAAUGGCCAUAACUUCCUAACCGUACCUCAGUUUGUCGAUCUGAAGAAUGAUCUGGAAAGCUGACAACGAGACCUUUCCAAAGGUAUCUCGCUCGUUUUCUAAGUCAGUCGGGAUAAACAGCAAAACGCUUAUGAAGUUGACUGUUCGUGGACUCGCUCUGCAGAGAUCAGUCUCAAAUAAACAACCAUAACAUUAUAACAUUUAAACCGAAAUUCCAAAUGAUGAUCUGCUUUCUGUUAUAAGUAGAUCUGUGAGUUUAGAAUUUACCAUGAAAAUUUGACUUCAAAAUUCUAUGAUUUGAUAAUCCGUUGCUGACUUUCCCCAAUACUGGCCUCAGAUGUGUUAUGCAGAAAUAUCCCUUGGUAAAACACACAUAACUUCUAGAAUACAAAUCCGAUUGGAGAUCCGCUUUCUGUAACACGUAGAGAAAAGAGUUGGCUACUUACUCCCAGAAGAUGAUGGUCAAUGAUGGUCGUUGGACCAACUAAUGGAGGGAGAAACGUGAAGAUGGCUUGAGGUGGCUAAUGAAGAAGAUGAUGGUGAUAAAAGAUGGCUGCGCUACAGUUCACGUUUUAGGUUUUAAGAAUAAAGAAAUACUUAUAAUUAAUAUAUAAGCAUGUCUGGUUUACUAAACCAUUAAGGAGAAAUUAUUUUUCAGAUUGGUUUAGUUUAAAUAAAUAAUCAAACCAAAUUUUAAGUAUGGUUUGUUAAAACUGGGUCGUUACAGUUCUCUUAUAUGUAGAAAGAUUUUGAGAUAGUUAAUAUGUUUGGUUUGAUGAGUGUUUGUUUUAUGAUAAAUUUGAGGGAAAGAUA
Brassica oleracea var. oleracea is the source of this 2456-nucleotide long non-coding RNA. RefSeq lists it as uncharacterized. The transcript has 2 exons. Lineage: Eukaryota; Viridiplantae; Streptophyta; Magnoliopsida; Brassicales; Brassicaceae. The record is from RefSeq and is a predicted model, not a curated record.